GUUGGCUAUGGAGAUAUGGUGCCCACAACCAUCGGCGGAAAGAUUGUCGGAUCACUCUGUGCCAUCGCUGGCGUCUUGACCAUCGCCCUUCCAGUGCCCGUCAUUGUCUCAAAC
Non-coding RNA from Danio rerio (zebrafish), 114 nucleotides. NCBI's taxonomy places the organism in Eukaryota, Metazoa, Chordata, Actinopteri, Cypriniformes, Danionidae. The record is from Rfam.